Molecule: ribosomal RNA, 253 nt
Filed under: uncultured bacterium
Lineage: Bacteria
Description: partial 16S ribosomal RNA
Rfam family: Bacterial small subunit ribosomal RNA
Source: RNAcentral
UACAGAGGGGGCAAGCGUUAUUCGGAAUUAUUGGGCGUAAAGGGCGCGUAGGCGGCCAUUCAAGUGACGGGUGAAAGCCCUCGGCUUAACCGAGGAACUGCCUGUCAGACUGGAUGGCUUGAGACCGGGAGAGGUGAGUGGAAUUCCCAGUGUAGCGGUGAAAUGCGUAGAUAUUGGGAGGAACACCAGUGGCGAAGGCGGCUCACUGGACUGGUACUGACGCUGAGGCGCGAAAGCGUGGGGAGCAAACAGG